RNAcentral lists this ribosomal RNA (433 nucleotides) under uncultured bacterium. RNAcentral's name for it is "partial 16S ribosomal RNA". It matches the Rfam family "Bacterial small subunit ribosomal RNA", at positions 29 to 507 of the family's 1533-position model. The record is from RNAcentral.
AGCGAACGCUGGCGGCAGGCCUAACACAUGCAAGUCGAACGAACUCUUCGGAGUUAGUGGCGGACGGGUGAGUAACACGUGGGAACGUGCCUUUAGGUUCGGAAUAACUCAGGGGAACUUGUGCUAAUACCGAAUGUGCCCUUCGGGGGAAAGAUUUAUCGCCUUUAGAGCGGCCCGCGUCUGAUUAGCUAGUUGGUUAGGUAAAGGCUCACCAAGGCGACGAUCAGUAGCUGGUCUGAGAGGAUGAUCAGCCACAUUGGGACUGAGACACGGCCCAAACUCCUACGGGAGGCAGCAGUGGGGAAUCUUGCGCAAUGGGCGAAAGCCUGACGCAGCCAUGCCGCGUGAAUGAUGAAGGUCUUAGGAUUGUAAAAUUCUUUCACCGGGGACGAUAAUGACGGUACCCGGAGAAGAAGCCCCGGCUAACUUCGUG